UUUAGGGAGCAGCAGCCCAAAGAUGGGGCUGAGAGAGCUGGUGACACCACAGUGCCCAGGGUCUGUAUGUUGGAUCUUUACUUUGAAGAGGAAAACAUUUUUAGAUGGCCUCAUUAUUUUACCAUCCAAGCAAAAAGCCUGAACCUGUGGUGCAGCUGAGAUUUGCAAAGCCUGUGACACUCCUCUACUCAUGCAGCAGAAAGAAGUAACAGGAGCAUUCCUUGGGAGGCAAGAAUGAAUGCAGGCAGUGUCAGGAAGGAUUCUCCUGGUUAGAAUAGAUGUGGUAGCUUUUAAAUAAUUGGGACAAAGCCCAAUUAUUUAAAAUUGGGUAAUAUUUGAGUAAUAUUUUUCCAAGGAGUUUGAGAUUGCCUCCAGUGUGUGUAGUGUUAUGAAAUGUUAGAGACUGUAGGAGAACUGUUUUGUCAUUUUUCUUAAUGUCAAGCAUGAUUUACAGUAAAGUUCAAAAAGUAACGUAUUGACAUGUAUAUUUUAAGUCAUGGUGUUACAAAAGCUCUCUUGCCAGAUUCUGGUUAAGUCUUCAAGGCUUCCUGCUUGCAGUAAGAAGCGGAUUUUUUUCCAAUUUUAUUAUACUUGGAUGCAAAACAUGUUGUUUUGUUACAUUUACAGCUUCCUGGAGUUACAAAACAAACAUUUAAAAAACUACAUUUGUCAGAGAGCUGCUAUCAGAACUGUGCAUUAAUAAGUAUCUAAAUUACAGCUCUUGCCAUGUAGAACAAAUUAGAUUUCUUUUCAUUAAUACCAAGGAAGCAGAAAACAAGCUGAAUCCCAAGUGAAUUAAAUGAACACCAUCAUUUGCCAUUUCUUUUUCUACUACAAACCAGUCUUUAUUCAAUUAAACAACUCCUAAUCAUGUACCCGCUAUUCCAGUGGAGCUCAAAAGUGCUGGUGUCAAAAUUAAGUAGUUUCCUUAUAUAUUGUAUACAGGACUUUGAGCUCUAGUUACCCUAUUCGUGGCAAGGGUUCUGGUGCUUUGUUUUAAGCUAAACAAACUGCUGGGGGCUCUGCAGAGUUUUUCUCCUACAUAGGUAUUUGAAAUGCUGUGGUAAAAAACUUUAAAACAUGAAUGUUUCUAUGUUUUGUCAAACUUGAUACCAGUCCUAGAUUAGGCUGCUAGGAAAUGAAUUCU
Molecule: long non-coding RNA, 1147 nt
Organism: Parus major (Great Tit)
Lineage: Eukaryota; Metazoa; Chordata; Aves; Passeriformes; Paridae
Exons: 3
Source: RefSeq, a predicted model, not a curated record